RNAcentral lists this ribosomal RNA (253 nucleotides) under uncultured bacterium. Its description in RNAcentral is "partial 16S ribosomal RNA". It matches the Rfam family "Bacterial small subunit ribosomal RNA", at positions 524 to 776 of the family's 1533-position model. The record is from RNAcentral.
UACGGAGGGUGCAAACGUUGCUCGGAAUCAUUGGGCGUAAAGCGCACGUAGGCGGCUUUGUAAGUUAGAGGUGAAAGCCCAGGGCUUAACCCUGGAAUUGCCUUUAAGACUGCAUCGCUAGAAUUGUGGAGAGGUGAGUGGAAUUCCGAGUGUAGAGGUGAAAUUCGUAGAUAUUCGGAAGAACACCAGUGGCGAAGGCGACUCACUGGACACAUAUUGACGCCGAGGUGCGAAAGCGUGGGGAGCAAACAGG